UACGGGGGGGGCAAGCGUUGUUCGGAAUUACUGGGCGUAAAGGGCUCGUAGGUGGCCAACUAAGUCAGACGUGAAAUCCCCAGGCUUAACCUGGGAACUGCAUCCGAUACUGGAUGGCUUGAAUCCGGGAGAGGGAUGCAGAAUUCCAGGUGUAGCGGUGAAAUGCGUAGAUAUCUGGAGGAAUACCGGUGGCGAAGGCGGCAUCCUGGACCGGCAUUGACGCUGAUGAGCGAAAGCUAGGGGAGCAAACGGG
Molecule: ribosomal RNA, 253 nt
Filed under: uncultured bacterium
Lineage: Bacteria
Description: partial 16S ribosomal RNA
Rfam family: Bacterial small subunit ribosomal RNA
Source: RNAcentral